RNAcentral lists this ribosomal RNA (401 nucleotides) under uncultured Eubacteriales bacterium. Its description in RNAcentral is "uncultured Clostridiales bacterium partial 16S ribosomal RNA". It matches the Rfam family "Bacterial small subunit ribosomal RNA", at positions 355 to 774 of the family's 1533-position model. The record is from RNAcentral. Lineage: Bacteria; Bacillati; Bacillota; Clostridia; Eubacteriales.
UGGGGAAUAUUGCACAAUGGGCGAAAGCCUGAUGCAGCAACGCCGCGUGAGCGAUGAAGGUCUUCGGAUCGUAAAGCUCUGUCCUCAAGGAAGAUAAUGACGGUACUUGAGGAGGAAGCCCCGGCUAACUACGUGCCAGCAGCCGCGGUAAUACGUAGGGGGCUAGCGUUAUCCGGAAUUACUGGGCGUAAAGGGUGCGUAGGCGGUCUUUCAAGCCAGAAGUGAAAGGCUACGGCUCAACCGUAGUAAGCUUUUGGAACUGUAAGACUUGAGUGCAGGAGAGGAGAGUGGAAUUCCUAGUGUAGCGGUGAAAUGCGUAGAUAUUAGGAGGAACACCAGUUGCGAAGGCGGCUCUCUGGACUGUAACUGACGCUGAGGCACGAAAGCGUGGGGAGCAAACA